Molecule: transfer RNA, 76 nt
Filed under: Caulobacter sp.
Lineage: Bacteria; Pseudomonadati; Pseudomonadota; Alphaproteobacteria; Caulobacterales; Caulobacteraceae
Also listed under: 51 other names
Description: tRNA-Trp
Rfam family: tRNA
About the family: Transfer RNA (tRNA) molecules are approximately 80 nucleotides in length.
Source: RNAcentral
AGGAGUGUAGCUCAGCUGGUAGAGCAUCGGUCUCCAAAACCGAGGGUCGUGGGUUCGAGUCCCUCCACUCCUGCCA